This 492-nucleotide ribosomal RNA is filed under the name uncultured bacterium. RNAcentral's name for it is "partial 16S ribosomal RNA". It matches the Rfam family "Bacterial small subunit ribosomal RNA", at positions 29 to 507 of the family's 1533-position model. The record is from RNAcentral.
AGUGAACGCUGGCGGUAGGCCUAACACAUGCAAUUCGAACGGCAGCACAGUGAGAGCUUGCUCUUACGGGUGGCGAGUGGCGGACGGGUGAGGAAUACAUCGGAAUCUACUUUUUCGUGGGGGAUAACGUAGGGAAACUUACGCUAAUACCGCAUACGACCUACGGGUGAAAGCAGGGGAUCUUCGGACCUUGCGCGAUUGAAUGAGCCGAUGUCGGAUUAGCUAGUUGGCGGGGUAAAGGCCCACCAAGGCGACGAUCCGUAGCUGGUCUGAGAGGAUGAUCAGCCUCACUGGAACUGAGACACGGUCCAGACUCCUACGGGAGGCAGCAGUGGGGAAUAUUGGACAAUGGGCGCAAGCCUGAUCCAGCCAUACCGCGUGGGUGAAGAAGGCCUUCGGGUUGUAAAGCCCUUUUGUUGGGAAAGAAAAGCAGCAGGUUAAUACCCCGCUGUUCUGACGGUACCCAAAGAAUAAGCACCGGCUAACUUCGUG